This 618-nucleotide ribosomal RNA is filed under the name Exophiala moniliae. RNAcentral's name for it is "eukaryotic LSU rRNA". It matches the Rfam family "Eukaryotic large subunit ribosomal RNA", at positions 38 to 667 of the family's 3401-position model. Lineage: Eukaryota; Fungi; Ascomycota; Eurotiomycetes; Chaetothyriales; Herpotrichiellaceae. The record is from RNAcentral.
GCAUAUCAAUAAGCGGAGGAAAAGAAACCAACAGGGAUUGCCUCAGUAACGGCGAGUGAAGCGGCAACAGCUCAAAUUUGAAAUCUGGCCUCUUUGGGGUCCGAGUUGUAAUUUGUAGAGGAUGUUUCGGGUACCGCCCCGGUCUAAAUUUCUUGGAACAGAAUGUCAGAGAGGGUGAGAAUCCCGUCUUGGACCGGCGGUAGGGCCCAUGUGAAACUCCUUCGACGAGUCGAGUUGUUUGGGAAUGCAGCUCAAAAUGGGUGGUAUAUUUCAUCUAAAGCUAAAUAUUGGCCAGAGACCGAUAGCGCACAAGUAGAGUGAUCGAAAGAUGAAAAGAACUUUGAAAAGAGAGUUAAACAGUAUGUGAAAUUGUUGAAAGGGAAGCGCUUGCAACCAGACUUGAGCGCGGCGGUUCCCCCUUCCUUUUGGUUGGGUUACUCCGUCGUGUCCAGGCCAACAUCGGUUCUGGGGGUCGGUUAAAGGCCUGGGGAAUGUAUCUACGUCUUCGGGCGUAGACUUAUAGCCCCGGGUGUCAUGCGACCUCCCGGGACCGAGGAACGCGCUUCGGCUCGGAUGUUGGCGUAAUGGUUGUAAGCGACCCGUCUUGAAACACGGACC